UACAGAGGGUGCAAGCGUUAAUCGGAAUUACUGGGCGUAAAGCGCACGUAGGUGGAUAUUUAAGUCGGAAGUGAAAGCCCUGGGCUUAACCUGGGAAUUGCCUCCGAUACUGGAUAUCUAGAGUAUGGUAGAGGACAGUGGAAUUUCCGGUGUAGCGGUGAAAUGCGUAGAUAUCGGAAGGAACACCAGUGGCGAAGGCGGCUAUCUGGACCAAUACUGACACUUAGGUGCGAAAGCGUGGGGAGCAAACAGG
RNAcentral lists this ribosomal RNA (253 nucleotides) under uncultured bacterium. Its description in RNAcentral is "partial 16S ribosomal RNA". It matches the Rfam family "Bacterial small subunit ribosomal RNA", at positions 524 to 776 of the family's 1533-position model. The record is from RNAcentral.